Non-coding RNA from Danio rerio (zebrafish), 1090 nucleotides. Lineage: Eukaryota; Metazoa; Chordata; Actinopteri; Cypriniformes; Danionidae. The record is from Ensembl.
UAGUUGACUUCACUCAGGCCUACACGAGCAGCGUCUUCCUUCGGAUUUGUUUGGAUCAUUUUUGAUGGCAAAACAGCACAAAUGUUUUAAAUUUCCUCUGCCUGCACCUGAGGCCCUCAAGAUCUUAGAAGAAGAGGAUCACGUGUUUCUCUUCUGGAAGGGGCUUUGAGGUGUAUGUGCAUGACAGUGUCACCAACUCCACCAAGUGUUUAGGCAACACAACAGAGACGUUCUUCAGAAUCAACAGCCUGCUGGCAGGUCAUAACUACACGUUCUCGGUGCGGGCGCGAUGUCUACUCAGUAACCAGCUUUGUGUAGAGUCAGCGGUGUUGUUAUGUGAUGAACUGGGCAAAGCAGCAGGGCAGAAUGAUGCAGCGUCUCAGUCGGGUAAAUCGGAGGACAUGGCAGCUAUUGUGGUGCCAGUGUUGUUCCUGCUGUUAGUGGGUGUGUGUGGAGGCCUGGUGGUGCUUUACCUCAGACAUCGUCGCCUACAGCACAGCUUCACUGCCUUCGCUAACAGCCACUACAACUCUCGUCUGGGCUCUGCUAUUUUCUCCUCAGGAGAUGAGCUGGGUGAUGAUGAUGAAGACGCUCCUAUAAUCAGUAGUUUUUCAGAUGACGUUCCGAUGGUCAUUGCGUAGCUGGACAAACCUUUCUCUUCUCCUCCUUCACUUUCACUCCACAACCUUAUCAUAUUUUCUUAUGUGCUCAUCCGGCACACCUUCAAGCUACUCAUGACCCCUGUCACUUAAAAAAAAAGCUGGAUUUGUGUUUCCAGACCCACAGGAAGACAAGAAAGCAUGGAGCGAAAGAGAUAUUUUUGAAUAUAAGAUGCACUUUUUUCGGAUGUGCAAUAACUUUUUUUUAUAUAUAUAAUAUAUGUGGGUAUUGGACAUUGUAGGCAUUAACUGAAGCAAACUGUGAAGGAGUUGGUCAGCUGAUCAGCACACACACACCGACCCAACUAGGAAAAGACCCUUAUUGUACAACAAAGUCUCACAUGAGCAUUACAUUUUGCUUAAAGCCAAAACAAGCACCUAGAUAUGGGUACAUCAGUGCAAAAACACACACAAAAGAAGAGUAAAAAAAA